CUUGGCAUUCAUCAAACAAGCUCGUGCCAAACAAAUCUUCCAUCCUAGGAAAUUGCUUUGACGUAAAGCAAGUCAUCCGAAUGUGUACUUGUAAACGCUCUGUUUACUUAAUUGAAGCAAAUGCAUUGAAGAGGUGCAGAAAGAUGAGAAUAUAAACAUGGACAAACACGUUUAUAGGCUCCAGAAAAAAAUAGUCUAGCGUUUCCUUAAAUCACUUUUGCCACGUUGCGUGUUCAGAGCAAAUUCGAAUGGAAAAUUGUUCUCGUUUGCUAGCUCACGUAUCAAAGAGAGAAGGGUUCUCUCGCCUUCGAUAGCUCAGUUGGCAGAGCGGAGGACUGUAGGUGCUCAUAUCGGUCAUCCUUAGGUCGCUGGUUCGACUCCGGCUCGAAGGAGGGCUGUCUCCGUGCGAGUUGGCUUCUUUUUUUUUCAAAAUGUUAAUUUGGCCAGUGGUGAGUAAAAAGCUCUUCCCUGACCGGGAAUCGAACCCGGGCCGCGGCGGUGAGAGCGCCGAAU
Molecule: long non-coding RNA, 513 nt
Organism: Ictalurus punctatus (channel catfish)
Lineage: Eukaryota; Metazoa; Chordata; Actinopteri; Siluriformes; Ictaluridae
Source: Ensembl